CUGCUGGCACGUAGUUAGCCGUGGCUUUCUCAUAAAGUACCGUCACUCGGAUAUCAUUCCCUAUAUCCGCCGUUCUUCCUUUAUAACAGAAGUUUACAGAACGAAUUCCUUCUUCCUUCACGCGGCGUUGCUCGGUCAGGGUUCCCCCCAUUGCC
RNAcentral lists this ribosomal RNA (155 nucleotides) under uncultured Bacillota bacterium. RNAcentral's name for it is "uncultured Firmicutes bacterium partial 16S ribosomal RNA". Lineage: Bacteria; Bacillati; Bacillota. The record is from RNAcentral.